GGGCAUUUGGCGCAGUGGUAGCGCGCUCGCUUUGCAUGCGAAAGGCCCAGGGUUCAAUCCCCUGAAUGUCCA
RNAcentral lists this transfer RNA (72 nucleotides) under Phanerochaete sordida. RNAcentral describes it as "tRNA-Ala". It matches the Rfam family "tRNA". Rfam says of the family: Transfer RNA (tRNA) molecules are approximately 80 nucleotides in length. Lineage: Eukaryota; Fungi; Basidiomycota; Agaricomycetes; Polyporales; Phanerochaetaceae. The record is from RNAcentral.